CUGCCCAUAGCUCAGUUGGAUAGAGCAUCAGCCUUCUAAGCUGAGGGUCACAGGUUCGAUUCCUGUUGGGCAGG
Molecule: transfer RNA, 74 nt
Organism: Janthinobacterium agaricidamnosum
Lineage: Bacteria; Pseudomonadati; Pseudomonadota; Betaproteobacteria; Burkholderiales; Oxalobacteraceae
Rfam family: tRNA
About the family: Transfer RNA (tRNA) molecules are approximately 80 nucleotides in length. Their secondary structure includes four short double-helical elements and three loops (D, anti-codon, and T loops). Further hydrogen bonds mediate the characteristic L-shaped molecular structure. tRNAs have two regions of fundamental functional importance: the anti-codon, which is responsible for specific mRNA codon recognition, and the 3' end, to which the tRNAs corresponding amino acid is attached (by aminoacyl-tRNA synthetases). tRNAs cope with the degeneracy of the genetic code in two manners: having more than one tRNA (with a specific anti-codon) for a particular amino acid; and 'wobble' base-pairing, i.e. permitting non-standard base-pairing at the 3rd anti-codon position.
Source: Rfam